CAAAAAUGAAUACAAAAAUGACUGUAUGAAGCAAUGUUUGGAAGUGAUAUAAAAGUAGGUCUUUCUUGUUUUCUUUAUCUAAGAAAACAGCACAGAAAAUUAAAACAGAGGAAUAGCUGCAAGAAGUGUUGGAUAAUAUUAGGAAUCAGUUGUGGUAAAUGAUGAAAAUGAAAAUGCAAUGCUGACAGAGGAAAGUGCUGGUAAUGAGGAUAUAGGAAACCAACUGAAUGCUGGUGAAGCUAGAGUAAAACAUUUGGAAAAUAAGAUCCUUUGCUCAUUGUGUAAAGCCAAAAUUUCAAGUUUAAAUGAGGUAAGCAAUAAAGAAUCAUUAUAUUCACUUUGUGAAAAGAAGUAUAUUGUAAAAAACAGACAAUAUGCCGAAUUAAACCUGUUCAACUAAGACAAAAAGAUAAAAUUUAACUCCAAGUCAUUUCCUCCAGCUGAAAUUAGGGACAUGGUGAGGGUUCAAAUUCCUAAAGUGGACAGAUCAUGAGUGAUCCUAGAAAUGUUCUCUUUAUAGUGUUAUCUGUCAAAGAUGAUGAAUAUUACACACUUGCAAAUAAAUACAGAAAACUUCCUCAAUCUUACAUAAGAAACCAGUUUACUGUGUGCUGUGAAAAGUUAGUUUCAUUAAAUGAUGUUUCAAAUGAAGAAAAAUCUCAUUGAGAAAUUAGUAGUUUACAAUCACUUUCUGGAGAUCAAGGAUUUAAGAAGUGUUUUUGCAAAGCUAAAUGUGAAGUGAAAAAAUGUAAGUGUAAACCUUUAGGACUUCUUUGUACAGUAACAGUAAAUACCAUUCAAGUCUUGAUUGUAAAAACAAAACAGUAAAUUUUAAAUAACAAAC
Molecule: long non-coding RNA, 844 nt
Filed under: Androctonus crassicauda
Lineage: Eukaryota; Metazoa; Arthropoda; Arachnida; Scorpiones; Buthidae
Source: RNAcentral